Molecule: ribosomal RNA, 107 nt
Filed under: Acanthosepion pharaonis
Lineage: Eukaryota; Metazoa; Mollusca; Cephalopoda; Sepiida; Sepiidae
Source: RNAcentral
GCCACAUCAUGUUGAAAUACUGGUUCCCAUAUGAUCACCAAAGUUAAGCAAUGUCAAGUCUGGUCAGUACCUAGAUGGGUAACAGUUUGGGAAUACCAAGUACUGUA